This 295-nucleotide long non-coding RNA is filed under the name Arabidopsis lyrata. Its description in RNAcentral is "long non-coding RNA (ALYR_LNC001300)". Lineage: Eukaryota; Viridiplantae; Streptophyta; Magnoliopsida; Brassicales; Brassicaceae. The record is from RNAcentral.
UACGGGAGGAGGCUCAGACACUGUCUCCUUCACGGGUCCAUCCACAGGUGCUGCUGCAGUUUCAGAUGCUGGUGACUCAGCAACAGCUGCGGUUUCAGGUGCUGGUGACUCAGCAACGGCUACGGUUUCAGGUGCUGGUGACUCAGCAACGGCUACGGUUUCAGGUGCUGGUGACUCAGCAGUAGCUGCAGUUUCAGGCGCUGAUUCAGUCCGUGGUGCCUCAGAAGAUGGAGGAGCUUCAAUAGCCAAUGGUUUUGCAGGUUCUUCGAGCGCCAAUGGCUUAGCUACUUCUGGC